Molecule: ribosomal RNA, 419 nt
Filed under: uncultured bacterium
Lineage: Bacteria
Description: partial 16S ribosomal RNA
Rfam family: Bacterial small subunit ribosomal RNA
Source: RNAcentral
AAUAUUGGACAAUUGGGGCAACGCUGAUCCAGCCAUGCCGCGUGUUUGAAGAAGGUCCUCUGUUUGUAAAGCACUUUAAGUUGGGAGGAAGGGGUUUAGGUUAAUGCCCUGAAGUUUUGACGUUACCAACAGUAUAAGCACCGGCUAACCCUGUCCCAUCAGCCGCGGUAAUACAGUGUGUGCAAGCGUUAAUCGGAAUUACUGGGCGUAAAGCGCGCGUAGGUGGUUAAGUAAGAUGAGUGUGAAAUCCCCGGGCUUAACCUGGGAACUGCUUUCAUAACUGCUGAGCUAAAGUACGGUAGAGGGUAGUGGAAUUUCCUGUGUAGCGGUGAAAUGCGUAGAUAUAGGAAGGAACACCAGUGGCGAAGGCGACUACCUGGACUGAUACUGACACUGAGGUGCGAAAGCGUGGGGAGCAA